RNAcentral lists this ribosomal RNA (468 nucleotides) under uncultured bacterium. RNAcentral's name for it is "partial 16S ribosomal RNA". It matches the Rfam family "Bacterial small subunit ribosomal RNA", at positions 28 to 507 of the family's 1533-position model. The record is from RNAcentral.
GACGAACGCUGGCGGUGUGCUUAACACAUGCAAGUCGAACGGUAAGGCCCUUUCGGGGGUACCCGAGUGGCGCACGGGUGAGUAACACGUGAGUAACCUGCCCUCAUCUCUGGGAUAACAGUCGGAAACGGUUGCUAAUACUGGAUAUGAGCUUGCAAGGCAUCUUGUGGGUUGGAAAGAUUUUUUUUGGUUGGGGAUGGACUCGCGGCCUAUCAGCUUGUUGGUGAGGUAGUGGCUCACCAAGGCUUCGACGGGUAGCCGGCCUGAGAGGGCGACCGGCCACAUUGGGACUGAGAUACGGCCCAAACUCCUACGGGAGGCAGCAGUGGGGAAUAUUGCACAAUGGACGGAAGUCUGAGGCAGCAACGCCGCGUGCGGGAUGACGGCCUUCGGGUUGUAAACCGCUGUCAAUUGUGACGAAGCGUUUUUGUGACGGUAGCAGUAGAAGAAGCACCGGCUAACUACGUG